CUUUUCGGCCGCGGCGCGUGACUGGGCUUGGUGGAGUUUCAAGAUGCUGAUGAACUUAAGGUAUGGGCCGAGUGGAAAGAAUUUGGUUUAAGUUAUUAAUAGUUGAAUUGAAAUUGUGGCCAAGGAUGAGAACUCUAAUCUGAUUUUAUGUGCUUCUGCUGUGAUGGAUUAAAGGAUUUACCUGAGGCCAAAUUGGUAUGCAGGAAUUUAUUAAAUGGAAUCAUACCCCCCCCCCUUUUAAAAUUACGCUUUUGGUAAAAGGGAAAAAGCUCUUGGUAAAUGGAUAAUACUACUAAGCCAAGAGAAAGACAGGAUUUUGAGUGAAAACAUAAAUUUAGAUGUCACAACAUUACUAAAGCAACAGUGUGUAAGAUACUGGACGAUUUUAUUUACUUACUUGCACAGUUUUUGUAAACAGUCUAGACAGUACUGUAUUUUGCUAUUUAGUAAUACCUACUGUGAUACUUCUUUUACAGGUCUGGCGCUUGAAAGAAUCAGUGAAGCUUUUCAAGUAGAGGAGUGGUGUUUCCAGUGAAAUCUAUGGCAAGAUGGUUUGGGGUCACUAUCUACAUGAACUGCCAAGUUGGAAAAUCAAAAAUACAUCAAAAUCACUCUUGGGACAUAAGUCACGGAAGUGACUCAUGCACACAAUAAAUACCCAAGAAGCAGGACCAGACGGCAGUUGUGUAUUGGCACGCUCAUCAGUGCUGCAAAAAUUCCCCUUCUGGAUGGCAACAACAAUGCUGUAUCCACAGCAGCAUUUUAAAUCUCACCUCUGAUGUAUCCAUUG
This 790-nucleotide long non-coding RNA is filed under the name Homo sapiens (human). Its description in RNAcentral is "non-protein coding SNHG26:24". The stretch from base 117 to 190 matches the Rfam family "Small nucleolar RNA SNORD93". The record is from RNAcentral. Lineage: Eukaryota; Metazoa; Chordata; Mammalia; Primates; Hominidae.